GACUGCUGACAAAAGCUUACUGAUAUUACCCUUUGCUCUUUAUUUCUCAACUAUACCUGUUGGCAAGCAAGUGAUGAUUUUAGCAUGUAUGGCAUGAAAUGAAACUCCACAGGUGGAACAGAAUUUCACCUCAGAAAAGAAAAACUACAAGUCCAUGACAGUUUUCUUUGCUUGUUUUCUAUUUGUUACAGUGCAGUUCUAUGUUACUGUAGUGGAAAUGCUAAAUCACAGCCUGAAACAGCGAUUGAACACCUGGUGGGAAGGCAUGGCCAACCCAGAGGUGCUCAGGUGCCUGCAGUGUACUGGCAUGUCUGGAAGGGGUGGAGCCGGGAUCCUCUCCUUCCCAGAUCUCACUAAAGGGUUGACAGGGGGAGGUAAAGGUUUCUUUUGGAGAUCUCUGUGUACCUUAGGCCUUCUAAAGGUCAGAUGGGACAGAGAGCAGGGAACUCCAAAGGAAGCACCCGGAUCCAUGCAGCAUGCUUUGGUAAUGAAGACAAGGCUGAUGGGCAGUGAAUGUAGUCCUGGCAUGCAUCCAAAGAGAUCUGAUGGGCCCAAUGCAGCUUUGAUGAAAUCCAGAGGAAAAUUUCUCCCAUUGCUCUGCACCCUGGUUGAGAUUGGUGAGAGACUGUUUGGAGCUAUGGGUUCUGGUGGUGUUUACAGCAGUUCUGUACCUUUAAUUCUCUGCAUGUAAGGAAUGUCCUGAAUGGCAAGCAGAGUGAUCCCAUCACAGAGACCCUCAGAGGACCCACCUGCAGCCCUGCUUCCUGGAUUUGAUUUUAUUUGACAUCUUGAUAUUGCCAGCUCUGUUGUUUUAUCUGCUGCCUUAUGAUAGCUGAAGAUUUAUUGAGACCAUAACUUUGGGGAAAAAAUGGUU
Molecule: non-coding RNA, 874 nt
Organism: Coturnix japonica (Japanese quail)
Lineage: Eukaryota; Metazoa; Chordata; Aves; Galliformes; Phasianidae
Source: RefSeq, a predicted model, not a curated record